RNAcentral lists this long non-coding RNA (1048 nucleotides) under Betta splendens (Siamese fighting fish). Its description in RNAcentral is "lncRNA (ENSBSLG00000021000.1)". The record is from RNAcentral. Lineage: Eukaryota; Metazoa; Chordata; Actinopteri; Anabantiformes; Osphronemidae.
CCAGUUUUACCUGAAGGGCUGCAAUGGGGCACAGAGGGAUAAAAAGCCUGGGUGUUUUUUUUUUGGUAGUGGAGGCUUUCAGAAAAAGAAUUGGAAGGGUUGAUUGAAAAAGUUAGUGCCCGACUGUCUAAGUGGACCUGGAUCCGCCCUCAGUUUGUCUUAUAGGGGAAGGGCCCUGGUGGUUAAUAACCUGGCUGCUUCCAUGCUUUGGCAUAAAUUCACUGUGAUGGAGCCUCCGGAAACACUAGUGAAGGAAAUCCAGAAGAGGCUAGUGGAUUUCUUCUGGGGAGGUGUGCACUGGACUCGGGCGGCAUUGCUAUAUUUGCCAUUGUCAGAAGGAGGCCAGGGAUUGGUGGACCUGAAGAGUCGUGUGGCAGCCUUUCGCCUGCAGAGUGCUCAACGGUACUUAUACCACGAUCCGCAAAUGUGGACGGAAACAGCGACGGUACUCCUCCGCAGAGUAAUGGAUUUACAAUAUGAUAGACACUUGUUUUUACUGGAUUUGAGUAAAGUUGAUCCUUCCCGGGCUUCACCCUUUUAUCAGUCAAUGAUUCGGGUGUGGACGAAGACAAUAAAGAUUAAUAGAGACUGCGAAAUGUUCUAUAGAUGUGUGGCAGAGGAGCCCCUGUUCUUCAACCCGCUAAUCCAGUGCAGGAGCCUUUUGUCAGUAACUGUACAGAAGAUGCUGGUGUCGGCCGGGGUGACAAAGUUGCAGGGGCUGAUGGACGAUGGGAAUUGGAUCGCUGCCACAACGCUGAGCCAGAAGACAGGGUCCAGAUCAACAAGGUUUCUGCAGAAGUUGAUGGAAGAGGUGAGGGCCAGUCUGCCUGGUCCUUUUAGAGAAGCCAUAGGAAGAUCCGUGGCGAAGGAAGAACUGAUCGACUGGCCAGCUUUUCCUCCAUUGGGAGUUAGUGCUGCCACAGGGGAAGGAGGUGAGAGAGAGGGGGCAUUGUUGUCCUUUCGGGCACCUGAGCUAACAGAACUAUCAACGACACUGAGGAAAUCCCUUUAUUGGUUAGCGGUGAAGGUAAACAACAGAGGCUGUCUU